GCGAGUGAAGAGGGAAGAGCCCAAGAUUGAAAGCUGGCGUCUUCGGCGUCCGCAUUGUAAUCUCAAGAAGUGUUUUCCGCUUCGGACCAUGCCUAAGUCCCUUGGAAAAGGGCAUCAUAGAGGGUGAUAAUCCCGUACAUGGCAUGGAGCGCCCGAAGCUUUGUGAUACGCUUUCUAAGAGUCGAGUUGUUUGGGAAUGCAGCUCAAAAUGGGUGGUAAAUGCCAUCUAAGGCUAAAUAUUGGGGAGAGACCGAUAGCGAACAAGUACAGUGAUGGAAAGAUGAAAAGAACUUUGAAAAGAGAGUUAAACAGUACGUGAAAUUGCCAAAAGGGAAGGGUAGGAGGUCAGAGAUGCGGCCUGGGAUUCAGCCUUGCUUUUGCUUGGUGUUUUUCCCAGAUUGCAGGCCAACGUCGGUUUUGGGCACUGGAGAAGGGUAGGAGGAACGUGGCACCUCUCGGGGUGUGUUAUAGCCUCCUACUGGAUACAGCGACCGAGACCGAGGACAGCAGCGUACUCGCAAGAGCGGGCCUUUCGGGCACCUUUACGCUUAGGGCGUUGGCAUAAUGGCCCUCUACCACCCGUCUG
This 586-nucleotide ribosomal RNA is filed under the name Dirkmeia churashimaensis. RNAcentral's name for it is "LSU rRNA". It matches the Rfam family "Eukaryotic large subunit ribosomal RNA", at positions 89 to 655 of the family's 3401-position model. Lineage: Eukaryota; Fungi; Basidiomycota; Ustilaginomycetes; Ustilaginales; Ustilaginaceae. The record is from RNAcentral.